UACGAAGGGGGCUAGCGUUGCUCGGAUUGACUGGGCGUAAAGGGCGCGUAGGCGGUUCGUACAGUCAGACGUGAAAUUCCUGGGCUCAACCUGGGGGCUGCGUUUGAUACGUGCGGACUUGAGUGCGGAAGAGGGUCGUGGAAUUCCCAGUGUAGAGGUGAAAUUCGUAGAUAUUGGGAAGAACACCGGUGGCGAAGGCGGCGACCUGGUCCGAUACUGACGCUGAGGCGCGAAAGCGUGGGGAGCAAACAGGAUUAGAUACCCUGGUAGUCCACGCCGUAAACGAUGUGCGCUGGAUGUUGGGUGACAUAGUCACUCAGUGUCGUAGCAAACGCGAUAAGCGCACCGCCUGGGGAGUACGGCCGCAAGGUUGAA
This 375-nucleotide ribosomal RNA is filed under the name uncultured bacterium. RNAcentral's name for it is "bacterial SSU rRNA". It matches the Rfam family "Bacterial small subunit ribosomal RNA", at positions 524 to 898 of the family's 1533-position model. The record is from RNAcentral.